AGCCGGCCGGACAGUCGCUGCUGCGGUGUGUGUGUAAACAUACUGCCGCGGGGGAGGAAAGUCCGAGCUCCGCAGGACAGGGCGCCAGGUAACGCCUGGGAGGCGCAAGCCUACGACUAGCGCAACAGAGAACAGACCGCCUGAAGCAAAGCUUUAGGUAAGGGUGAAACGGUGCGGUAAGAGCGCACCGCCCGUGCAGCAAUGUAUCGGGGCAGGGCAAGCUCCGCCCGGAGCAAGAUCGAAUAGGCCUCCGCAUGGUGCGGUCCGUACUAGGAGGCGGGUUGAUUGCUGGAACCUGAGGGUGACUUCAGGUCUAGAGGAAUGGCUGUCGCUGCCACAGGCAGAACAGAACUCGGCUUACAGGCUGGCUCAC
This 373-nucleotide RNase P RNA is filed under the name uncultured Succinivibrio sp. RNAcentral's name for it is "Bacterial RNase P class A". It matches the Rfam family "Bacterial RNase P class A". Rfam says of the family: Ribonuclease P (RNase P) is a ubiquitous endoribonuclease, found in archaea, bacteria and eukarya as well as chloroplasts and mitochondria. Its best characterised activity is the generation of mature 5'-ends of tRNAs by cleaving the 5'-leader elements of precursor-tRNAs. Cellular RNase Ps are ribonucleoproteins. Lineage: Bacteria; Pseudomonadati; Pseudomonadota; Gammaproteobacteria; Aeromonadales; Succinivibrionaceae. The record is from RNAcentral.